GAUGAAGAACGCAGCGAAAUGCGAUACGUAAUGUGAAUUGCAGAAUUCAGUGAAUCAUCGAAUCUUUGAACGCAUAUUGCGCUCUCUGGUAUUCCGGAGAGCAUGCUUGUUUGAGUAUCAGUAAACACCUCAACUCCCUUUUCUUUUUUGAAAUGGGAGCUGGACUUGAGUGAUCCCAACACUUUUCUCACUGGAAAGUGGCGGGUCACUUGAAAUGCAGGUGCAGCUGGACUUUUCUCUGAGCUAUAAGCAUAUCUAUUUAGUCUGCCUAAAAAACAGAUUAUUACCUUUGCUACAGCUAACAUAAAGGAGAUGAGUUCUUGUGCUGACUGAUGCAGGAUUCACAGAGACAGCUUUGCGGCUGACUUUGUAAACUCGAUCUCAAAUCAAGUAAGACUACCCGCUGAACUUAAGCAUAUCAAUAAGCGGAGGA
This 433-nucleotide unclassified non-coding RNA is filed under the name soil metagenome. RNAcentral describes it as "partial contains 5.8S ribosomal RNA, internal transcribed spacer 2, and large subunit ribosomal RNA". The stretch from base 1 to 120 matches the Rfam family "5.8S ribosomal RNA", at positions 35 to 154 of the family's 154-position model. The record is from RNAcentral.